CGAUGUGGGAAGGCCCAGACAGCCAGGAUGUUGGCUUAGAAGCAGCCAUCAUUUAAAGAAAGCGUAAUAGCUCACUGGUCGAGUCGGCCUGCGCGGAAGAUGUAACGGGGCUAAACUAUGCACCGAAGCUGCGGCAGCGACACUAUGUGUUGUUGGGUAGGGGAGCGUUCUGUAAGCCUGUGAAGGUGUGUCGUGAGGCAUGCUGGAGGUAUCAGAAGUGCGAAUGCUGACAUAAGUAACGAUAAAGCGGGUGAAAAGCCCGCUCGCCGGAAGACCAAGGGUUCCUGUCCAACGUUAAUCGGGGCAGGGUGAGUCGACCCCUAAGGCGAGGCCGAAAGGCGUAGUCGAUGGGAAACGGGUUAAUAUUCCCGUACUUGGUGUUACUGCGAAGGGGGGACGGAGAAGGCUAUGUUGGCCGGGCGACGGUUGUCCCGGUUUAAGCGUGUAGGUGUGUGUUCCAGGUAAAUCCGGUUCACUUUAACACUGAGGCGUGAUGACGAGGCACUACGGUGCUGAAGCAACAAAUGCCCUGCUUCCAGGAAAAGCCUCUAAGCAUCAGGUAACAUCAAAUCGUACCCCAAACCGACACAGGUGGUCAGGUAGAGAAUACCAAGGCGCUUGAGAGAACUCGGGUGAAGGAACUAGGCAAAAUGGUGCCGUAACUUCGGGAGAAGGCACGCUGACACGUAGGUGAAGUGAUUUACUCAUGGAGCUGAAGUCAGUCGAAGAUACCAGCUGGCUGCAACUGUUUAUUAAAAACACAGCACUGUGCAAACACGAAAGUGGACGUAUACGGUGUGACGCCUGCCCGGUGCCGGAAGGUUAAUUGAUGGGGUCAGCGCAAGCGAAGCUCCUGAUCGAAGCCCCGGUAAACGGCGGCCGUAACUAUAACGGUCCUAAGGUAGCGAAAUUCCUUGUCGGGUAAGUUCCGACCUGCACGAAUGGCGUAAUGAUGGCCAGGCUGUCUCCACCCGAGACUCAGUGAAAUUGAACUCGCUGUGAAGAUGCAGUGUACCCGCGGCAAGACGGAAAGACCCCGUGAACCUUUACUAUAGCUUGACACUGAACAUUGAGCCUUGAUGUGUAG
RNAcentral lists this ribosomal RNA (1087 nucleotides) under Salmonella enterica. RNAcentral's name for it is "partial 23S ribosomal RNA". It matches the Rfam family "Bacterial large subunit ribosomal RNA", at positions 1071 to 2141 of the family's 2925-position model. Lineage: Bacteria; Pseudomonadati; Pseudomonadota; Gammaproteobacteria; Enterobacterales; Enterobacteriaceae. The record is from RNAcentral.